RNAcentral lists this ribosomal RNA (1525 nucleotides) under Parabacteroides sp. RNAcentral's name for it is "bacterial SSU rRNA". It matches the Rfam family "Bacterial small subunit ribosomal RNA". Lineage: Bacteria; Pseudomonadati; Bacteroidota; Bacteroidia; Bacteroidales; Tannerellaceae. The record is from RNAcentral.
ACAAUGGAGAGUUUGAUCCUGGCUCAGGAUGAACGCUAGCGGCAGGCCUAACACAUGCAAGUCGAGGGGCAUCACGAGGUAGCAAUACUUUGGUGGCGACCGGCGCACGGGUGCGUAACGCGUAUGUAACCUACCUAUAACAGGGGCAUAACACUGAGAAAUUGGUACUAAUUCCCCAUAAUAUUCGGAGAGGCAUCUCUCCGGGUUGAAAACUCCGGUGGUUAUAGAUGGACAUGCGUUGUAUUAGCUAGUUGGUGAGGUAACGGCUCACCAAGGCAACGAUACAUAGGGGGACUGAGAGGUUAACCCCCCACACUGGUACUGAGACACGGACCAGACUCCUACGGGAGGCAGCAGUGAGGAAUAUUGGUCAAUGGACGCAAGUCUGAACCAGCCAUGCCGCGUGCAGGAUGAAGGUGCUAUGCAUUGUAAACUGCUUUUGUACGAGGGUAAAUUCAGAUACGUGUAUCUGUUUGAAAGUAUCGUACGAAUAAGGAUCGGCUAACUCCGUGCCAGCAGCCGCGGUAAUACGGAGGAUCCGAGCGUUAUCCGGAUUUAUUGGGUUUAAAGGGUGCGUAGGCGGUUUGAUAAGUUAGAGGUGAAAGCUCGAUGCUCAACAUCGAAAUUGCCUCUGAUACUGUCAGACUAGAGUGUAGUUGCGGAAGGCGGAAUGUGUGGUGUAGCGGUGAAAUGCUUAGAUAUCACACAGAACACCGAUUGCGAAGGCAGCUUUCCAAGCUAUUACUGACGCUGAGGCACGAAAGCGUGGGUAGCGAACAGGAUUAGAUACCCUGGUAGUCCACGCCGUAAACGAUGAUAACUCGUUGCCGGCGAUAUAGUGUCGGUGACUAAGCGAAAGCGAUAAGUUAUCCACCUGGGGAGUACGUUCGCAAGAAUGAAACUCAAAGGAAUUGACGGGGGCCCGCACAAGCGGAGGAACAUGUGGUUUAAUUCGAUGAUACGCGAGGAACCUUACCCGGGCUUGAAUUGCAGCCGAACGAUCCAGAGAUGGUGAGGCCCUUCGGGGCGGCUGUGAAGGUGCUGCAUGGUUGUCGUCAGCUCGUGCCGUGAGGUGUCGGCUUAAGUGCCAUAACGAGCGCAACCCCUCUCCCCAGUUGCCAUCGGGUAAUGCCGGGCACUCCGGGGACACUGCCACCGUAAGGUGCGAGGAAGGUGGGGAUGACGUCAAAUCAGCACGGCCCUUACGUCCGGGGCUACACACGUGUUACAAUGGCCGGUACAGAGAGCCGGGUCUGCGCAAGCAGUCUCCAAUCCCAAAAGCCGGCCUCAGUUCGGACUGGGGUCUGCAACCCGACCCCACGAAGCUGGAUUCGCUAGUAAUCGCGCAUCAGCCAUGGCGCGGUGAAUACGUUCCCGGGCCUUGUACACACCGCCCGUCAAGCCAUGGGAGCCGGGGGUACCUGAAGUCCGUAACCGCAAGGAUCGGCCUAGGGUAAAACUGGUGACUGGGGCUAAGUCGUAACAAGGUAGCCGUACCGGAAGGUGCGGCUGGAACACCUCCUUU